UCAAGUCUAAGAUUUUUUUUUUCCAGUACACUAAAAAAAUUCAUUUUGAAAAGAAUUCUUCAAAUUAUUAUCUUUUUAAUCCAAGAUUAAUCUUUUCUUUUUAGUCCCAAACAUAGGAAUGAAUUGUUUAUUUUUUAUUUUUUCUUUUGCACUGUGAAAGAAAAAUUCUUUGAUAAACUUAUUGACUUGGAAUCGUGUUCAGAUUCAAUCAAGGAAAUUGAUUUUUCUUCUACAAAGGGUUUUUCGAUGGAUUUCUAAGUUUUGAUAUGAUUCAAUCAAAGAAAUUGAUUUUCUUCUAUAAAGGGUCUUUGGAAGAUGGAUUUUUGAGUUCUGAUACGUCUCUAUUGCAGGGAAAUAAUGGAUUUUGUGACAACAAUAUAGUUUACCAAAUGCAUAGGAUUAACAAGAUCAAGGACUGUUGAUGCGCUGUUACACUGGUGGACUGGUUUUGAUCACAAAAAACUUGAAUGAAUGUGCUCAAAACAUAGGGAAUGAAUGUGUAUUUCAAAGUGUACAACCAAACUUUGCGUUAAGAGAACUGGGUGAUUACAUGAAAGGCCUGGCAACAGUUUAACUGCUUCUACUUGCUGUUUAAGCUUGGUUGUUGUGUGUUGCAUUCAUUGUUGGUAUGAGUUGAAUCCUUAUCAACUCUGUUUGUAUUUGUUUGUUUGCUGCUAGGAGUGCACAUGAUUGGUCCAUCACUAGGUGCCAACACAAUUGGGAUGAGGUGUUUUGGACAAUGAUGCAAUUUUUUUUCCUCCUAGAUCAUUGUAAUAUAUUCUCUCUUUCUUUUGCCGCUCAAAAACAAAUCUGUGGAAUAACCUUGGUUAUGUUACUGUUAAUCUUUUCAGCAACCAUUAUGAAUUGUUUUUUCCCUCUUGCGAAUAUUUGAGUUUAUUACGAACUUUUUCUUUUCUUUUUCAUGUCUGAGCAAGUAAGCGAAUCAAAACUACAUGCCAAGCUAAGAAGGCUUCCGUCUGGAAUGUAGUCAGUUCACUGUGAGGAUCACCCUUCCAAUUCUACGAGUGUGAAAAUGACCUUGGUUAUUUUGUCACAUUUCUUUUUUCUUUUUCGAGUCAAUUCACCAUGAGGAUCACCCUUCUGAGUCUACAAGUGAAAAAUGUCCUUGGUUAUUUUGUUACACUUAUUUUUGAGUAUUACCAGUUAUGUUUAUCUCUUGUGAUAUAUUGAAAUUUAGAGAGAAAUUCUCUUGCAAUUGUUUUCCACUAAACAGAUAGCUCAAUUCUAAGUUAGUUUAUAUGUACAUAACGUUUUUCUCUCCGUAUAAUUUUCUACUCUAGACUUAAUAUGUUUAUAAAUUUCAGUUCUAAACACAAAUGUAAUGGGCACU
Camellia sinensis is the source of this 1351-nucleotide non-coding RNA. NCBI's taxonomy places the organism in Eukaryota, Viridiplantae, Streptophyta, Magnoliopsida, Ericales, Theaceae. The record is from RefSeq and is a predicted model, not a curated record.